GUUCCGGCCGCGCACAGGCUUGGACCCGUCGCCGCGCCCGACGCACAAGUCACCGCCCUCGUCGGCUCCGUCCCCCGCCACCUCACGCUCCCAUCUCCCUCUUCCUCGACGACCCUCGCCGGUGCCCCGUCGCCUGUUACCGACCACCGCCGCUCCGGAUCGCGGGCUCCCUGGCGCGAGCGCCCGUCCUUGACGCCCGAUCUCCCUUCCCCUCGCGCUCCUUCUGCGCCGCCGUGCUUCCACGAUGCAGGCGCACGCCAGCGCCUUGGCAUCGCCGCGGCGCCCGGAGCCACCUCGCCGGACCACUGCACCGCCGGCCUCCCCGAGCGCUUCCUCGACACGCUCCGAGCUCGCCCCUACGCUCCGCU
RNAcentral lists this ribosomal RNA (368 nucleotides) under Triticum aestivum (bread wheat). RNAcentral describes it as "partial small subunit ribosomal RNA". The record is from RNAcentral. Lineage: Eukaryota; Viridiplantae; Streptophyta; Magnoliopsida; Poales; Poaceae.